This 33-nucleotide small nuclear RNA is filed under the name Eremothecium sinecaudum. Its description in RNAcentral is "HCLSNR52". Lineage: Eukaryota; Fungi; Ascomycota; Saccharomycetes; Saccharomycetales; Saccharomycetaceae. The record is from RNAcentral.
AGGAUUAAAAACACUUGUUGCCUUCCUUCUGAA